GAUUGAGGCUGUUGAGACUCCAGGAGUGUUCGGGGCUGGGAGCCUGCUGAGUGUUCACUGUUCCCACCUCCAAUCUGCUCCAUCCUCCAGCUGCAAUUCAUUCCGGAUCUACCAGAGUGUCAUUCUGUCACCUAGGCUGGAGUACAGUGGUGCAAUCACAGCUCACUGCAGCCUCGAUCUCCUGGACUCAACCAAUCCUCCUGCCUCAGCCUUCCGGGUAGUUGAGACCACAGAUACAGAAGAUGAGAGAGAGAAAAAGAGAGAAAUUACAGAGUGACAGAGAAGGCAGACAUCAUGCAACAUGCUCAAGGGCUAUUCAUUUUAAGCUGAAACAUACAUGUGUAGAAAGCAUCCUUGUACUUAUAAUCCCAAUGACUGUGAAGAAAAAUAAUUUAGCCAAAUAGUUCCUAGAACAGGAAAAAUAAGGAAUUGUAUUUUGAGAUAAGAAGUUAAGCUCUAGUAUAACAAUGAUAUUGGGUCAAAGAAAAAUGAAAACAAAUUUAAAAAAUCUUACAACAUGAAUAAAAGUUUCACCAAAUCAGG
Molecule: long non-coding RNA, 543 nt
Organism: Pongo pygmaeus (Bornean orangutan)
Lineage: Eukaryota; Metazoa; Chordata; Mammalia; Primates; Hominidae
Exons: 3
Source: RefSeq, a predicted model, not a curated record